Molecule: long non-coding RNA, 556 nt
Filed under: Populus trichocarpa (black cottonwood)
Lineage: Eukaryota; Viridiplantae; Streptophyta; Magnoliopsida; Malpighiales; Salicaceae
Description: long non-coding RNA (PTRI_LNC003011)
Source: RNAcentral
UAUAUUUAAAUCAACCAUUCCAUAAUCCAUGCAUUACAUUCAAUGAAUGGAUGUGUUUUUUCAUCAAGGUCAACUGUUUUCCAUAUGAGGUGGGAUGUCUCCUGGUCUGCAGGUAUGUUGAAGCAAAGGCCAAAAUACAUGCUGUAAUGGCAGAGUUCUAUAUUUAUCUGCAUGGCUCUUGUUUAAAGCAUUAUUAACAAACCAUUUCACUUCAGUUUUUUGCUCUUCCAGUUUGAUAUGUUUCUCACAGGGCAUGUAUAUAUAUAUGGCUUUCUUGAAGUUUUGAAGAUAGCAGGAGUAGGACUUGAAUCUGAAUCUUAUCACUUAUCACACUCAACAAGGAAGAGUGUCAAUGGACUAAACUCCCAUUAGUGACUAAUAAGGAACCUCAUUGAUGGAUAGAUUGGAAGGCUAGUUUUUCCAAAAAAUGUGAGAGGGAGUAGGUGGUUAUAUAUGAUUUAAAAAACCUAAGCAGAUUUGGUAGAUUGCGUUUCCAGAUGGGCAGAUUCUAAAAUCUGAUUCCCUAUAUUAUUUUGUAUUGAAUGCAGAAUGCCUG